This 25-nucleotide unclassified non-coding RNA is filed under the name Mus musculus (house mouse). RNAcentral's name for it is "oocyte_clustered_small_RNA11731". The record is from RNAcentral. Lineage: Eukaryota; Metazoa; Chordata; Mammalia; Rodentia; Muridae.
UGGUGUCGUCCCAUGGGCUAGAGUC